Molecule: ribosomal RNA, 612 nt
Filed under: uncultured soil bacterium
Lineage: Bacteria
Description: bacterial SSU rRNA
Rfam family: Bacterial small subunit ribosomal RNA
Source: RNAcentral
CGGUCUACUAGUAAAGUGGCGGACGGGUGCGUAACACGUGGGUAAUCUACCUUCCGGCGGGGGACAACAGUCCGAAAGGAUUGCUAAUACCGCGUACGUCAGCGGCGCCUACGGGCGCUGUUGGGAAAGAUGGCCUCUCCAUGGAAGCUGUCACCGGAAGAUGAGCCCGCGUCCCAUCAGCUAGUUGGUGAGGUAAUGGCUCACCAAGGCAAAGACGGGUAGCUGGUCUGAGAGGAUGAUCAGCCACACUGGGACUGCGACACGGCCCAGACUCCUACGGGAGGCAGCAGUGGGGAAUAUUGGGCAAUGGGCGAAAGCCUGACCCAGCCACGCCGCGUGAGUGAUGAAGGCCUUCGGGUCGUAAAGCUCUGUGGGGAGGGACGAACAAAUCUGGGGCUAAUCACCCGGGUCCUGACGGUACCUCCUUAGCAAGCACCGGCUAACCCUGUGCCAGCAGCCGCGGUAAUACAGGGGGUGCAAACGUUGCUCGGAAUCAUUGGGCGUAAAGCGCACGUAGGCGGUCUGUUAUGUCGGAUGUGAAAGCCCUUGGCUUAACUGAGGAAGUGCAUCCGAAACUGGCAGGCUAGAGUACCAAAGAGGGUCGCGGAAUUC